UACGUAGGGCGCAAGCGUUGUCCGGAAUUAUUGGGCGUAAAGAGCUCGUAGGCGGCUUGUCGCGUCGUCCGUGAAAACCUGCAGCUCAACUGCAGGCUUGCGGUCGAUACGGGCAGGCUAGAGUUCGGUAGGGGAGACUGGAAUUCCUGGUGUAGCGGUGAAAUGCGCAGAUAUCAGGAGGAACACCGGUGGCGAAGGCGGAUCUCUGGGCCAUUACUGACGCUGAGGAGCGAAAGCGUGGGGAGCGAACAGG
Molecule: ribosomal RNA, 253 nt
Filed under: uncultured bacterium
Lineage: Bacteria
Description: partial 16S ribosomal RNA
Rfam family: Bacterial small subunit ribosomal RNA
Source: RNAcentral